This is a long non-coding RNA of Ostrea edulis (European flat oyster), 501 nucleotides long. RefSeq lists it as uncharacterized. The record is from RefSeq and is a predicted model, not a curated record. Lineage: Eukaryota; Metazoa; Mollusca; Bivalvia; Ostreida; Ostreidae. The transcript has 3 exons.
CUAUUCUUAUCACGGGUCCCUAUAUAAACCUAUGAGAUUAAAGACUUGUUACAUGCCACAACGAUCUCAAAAUGAUGGCUGCACGCAACACUGGGUUAUUUCUUGUUCUCGUGAUUAUUGCAUCAUGCCUUAAAGGUGGCGCUGCUGCUUCGACUACACAAUCAACCAAUACUACCACAGGUGGUGCUGCUGUUUCGACUGCAACGGCAGCUAGACCAUCAAGUUCAAGUAACAGAGCUUCCACUCCAACAACUUCCGUUAUCAAUACGCCAUCUACCGGGACCACUGGGAACAACACAGGAAGUGGGAGAGGAGGUGACGCAAGUGCCGCGUCUCCGAAUUUCUUUCUCAGUUUGUCAAUUGUGACUGGGGUAUAUAUUGUGAAGUGCGUCAGAGAAAAAUGGUGAUCAACCUUUUCCCGGCUUUGAUAAUUCAAUUUUGUUUUUCAUGUACAUAGAAUCCAUGAUGUGAAUUUUUACAGUAAAAUUAAUUUAUAGAAUA